CCUACGGGCGGCAGCAGUGGGGAAUAUUGCACAAUGGGGGAAACCCUGAUGCAGCGACGCCGCGUGAGUGAAGAAGUAUUUCUGUAUUGAAAGCUCUGUCAGCAGGGGAGUAAAUGACGGUACCUGACCAAAAAGCCCCGGCUAACUACGUGCCAUAAGCCGCGGUAAUACGUAGGGGGCAAGCGUUAUCCGGAUUUACUGGGUGUCAAGGGGGCGUAGACGGGUGGGCAAGUCUGGAGUGAAAGGCGGUGGCUCAACCCUCGGACUGCUCUGGAAACUGGCAGGCGGGAGUGCAGGAGAGGUAAGUGGAAUGCCUAGUGUAGCGGUGAAAUGCGUAGAUAUUAGGAGGAACACCAGUGGCGAAGGCGGCUUACUGGACUGUAACUGACGUUGAGGCUCGAAAGCGUGGGGAGCAAACAGGAUUAGAUACCCGAGUAGUC
This 440-nucleotide ribosomal RNA is filed under the name uncultured bacterium. RNAcentral's name for it is "partial 16S ribosomal RNA". It matches the Rfam family "Bacterial small subunit ribosomal RNA", at positions 338 to 795 of the family's 1533-position model. The record is from RNAcentral.